AUUGAACGCUGGCGGCAGGCCUAACACAUGCAAGUCGAGCGGAUGAAGGGAGCUUGCUCCUGGAUUCAGCGGCGGACGGGUGAGUAAUGCCUAGGAAUCUGCCUGGUAGUGGGGGAUAACGUCCGGAAACGGGCGCUAAUACCGCAUACGUCCUGAGGGUGAAAGUGGGGGAUCUUCGGACCUCACGCUAUCAGAUGAGCCUAGGUCGGAUUAGCUAGUUGGUGGGGUAAAGGCCUACCAAGGCGACGAUCCGUAACUGGUCUGAGAGGAUGAUCAGUCACACUGGAACUGAGACACGGUCCAGACUCCUACGGGAGGCAGCAGUGGGGAAUAUUGGACAAUGGGCGAAAGCCUGAUCCAGCCAUGCCGCGUGUGUGAAGAAGGUCUUCGGAUUGUAAAGCACUUUAAGUUGGGAGGAAGGGCAGUAAGUUAAUACCUUGCUGUUUUGACGUUACCAACAGAAUAAGCACCGGCUAAGUUCGUG
This 484-nucleotide ribosomal RNA is filed under the name uncultured bacterium. RNAcentral's name for it is "partial 16S ribosomal RNA". It matches the Rfam family "Bacterial small subunit ribosomal RNA", at positions 30 to 507 of the family's 1533-position model. The record is from RNAcentral.